UGGUAAUAUGCAACAGAAUCUCUGAGUCACAAAACAGCUUGAAAAUUAUUAAGAUCUGAGUAUUACUGAUUUCAGCUAUAGACUGUUUAAAUCUGGACUUUGAUUUGAGUUCAGAAGCUGGGAAGUGGCCCAUGUCUCAGCUGCUCACCCUUCCCAAAGUAUCAACUACAAUAUUGAAGAGGUUUUAGUGUGAUUGACAUCCAGUCCUUCACUGCUGUUAAUGUCCAGCAUGUAUAUGUAUUAUCGUAUUAUUAACCUUAACAUCAAAUCACUAUCAAUUUCUGUCUGUGACUGUAGGACAAACUGUAAAAAGAAGUGAUUCAUAUAUCUGUCCUGCUCAGUCACUUCUGAUGACAACUGCCAGGAGAGGGAUGGGAUAGCUGUGGGUUAAAGCUCAACUAUCUCAGCUAAGUUGGCCAGUGACAACAUGCCUAAGCCUUUUUGUUGUAAAUUUAUUCCACCAGAGCUGUAGGUGUUCACGUGUCUUUCUAGAAGCUCUAGUCAAAGAGAUCGGGAGUUCCCAGAUUCCUCUCUGAAGUGGAGCUGCAGAAACCUGUGGAGCUUGGAAGGAACUUGCUGCAAGCACAGCCAUCCCUUCCUAGCAAUGCUUUAGGGUACGGAUCUGUUGCCCUUCUCUGUUUCCACCUUGUAACUAUUGGACAUGAGAAACUCCACAGGAGUAGGAUGAGCUUCUCUGCUCCCAUGAGAUUUUUCACUCACCGCUUUACAAAAUGUGUGCUUAGCUCUGAAGUGUUCCAGACUGAAUUAAUUACUAAGCAACUUUGGUACCACGCUAUGCACUCCUCUCAGUUGUCUUCCCACACAUGAUGAGUACAACCAAGCUUGUAUCCAGCAGCUCUGAAGAAGCUGAAGAAAUAGAGAGUUUCUGUUUCUGCCCAAAGUGACUGGGGCAAUCAAUCCCAACGUGGGCUCAGCUGGAGGCAUUUUCCUUCACCUCUCUACUUCUGCUAUGGCUAUGUGAGAAAGCAAGGGGGUGAUUUUGCACAGGACCGCAGCUGUUUUUCUCCACAAUAAACAAAAAUCAGAGGCUGAAAUGUGAAGUUUUGUGUGAAAUCUAUUUGUCUUUGUCCAAGGGCCUCUGGCUCGCCACACAGGUGCGAGCAGACAGAGGAAGCACUCAGAGGGACGUGAGGGGAGCGGCGUCCAACUCAGCUAACCUGGGCCUGGCCCCCAUUCAGGCCCAGCCAGCAGGUAGGGAGGCCAUUUUUAGCUUGCUGAG
Gallus gallus (chicken) is the source of this 1240-nucleotide long non-coding RNA. The record is from Ensembl. NCBI's taxonomy places the organism in Eukaryota, Metazoa, Chordata, Aves, Galliformes, Phasianidae.